AGCCACUCAGCAACAACAAGAGGAUCAUCAACGCACCAAUCUUUUUCAAACCCGAUGCAUGAUUUAGGAGAAGGUGUGCUCCUUAAUUAUUGAUGGCAAAAGCUGCACCAACGUAGCUUCCCGAGAAAAGGUCGAGAAGCUGAUGCUACCAACACCCGUGCACCCGACGCCAUAUCAAUUGGGGUGUGGACCGACGUGGAUUGGGGUGGCUUCAGAAGCCUGGGCCUUUGUUGUGCUCACAGAGACGUUGUCACCCCGAUCGUGGCUGGCAGCGCGUGCCGUUGGCGUGCUCAAGCAUCAUCGCGCUCCAGGCGUAAGCCUGCGGGCUCCCCAUUCGACCCUCUUGAAACACGGACCAAGGAGUCUGACAUGUGUGCAAGUCAACGGGCCAGAAAACCCGUGAGGAAGCUGAGUGGCAGGAUCCCCUUGAGGGUUACACCGCCGACCGACCUUAAUCUUCUGAGAAGGGUUCAAGUGUGAGCACGCCUAUCGGGACCCAAAAGAUGGUGAACUAUGCCUGAGUGGGGCGAAGCUAGAGGAAACUCUGGUGGAGGCCCGCAGCGAUACUGACGUGCAAAUCAUUUGUCUGACUUGGGUAUAGGAACGAAAGACUAAUCGAACCGUCUAGUAGCUAGUUCCCUUCGAAGUUUCCCUCAUGAUAGCUGGAGACCAUGGGCGAGUUCUAUUAGGUAAAGCCAAUGAUUAGAGGUAUCGGGGGCGUAACGCCCUCGACCUAUUCUCAAACUUUAAAUAGGUAGGACGGUGUGGCUGCUUUGCUGAGCCGUGCCACAGAAUCGAGAGCUCCAAGUGGGCCAUUUUUGGUAAGCAUAACUGGCGAUGCGGGAUGAACCGAAAGACGGGUUACGGUGCGCAACUGCGCGCUAACCUAGAACCCACAAAGGGUGUUUGUCGAUUAAGACAGCAGGACGGUGGUCAUGGAAGUUGAAAUCCGCUAAGGAGUGCGAAACAACUCACCUGCCGAAUCAACUAGCCCCAAAAAUAGAUGGCGCUGAAGUGCGCGACCUAUACCCGGCCUUCGGGGCAAGUACUAAGCCCUGAUGACUAGGAGGGCACGGCGGUCGCUGUAAAACCUGGGGUGCGAGCCCGGGCGGAGCCGCCAUCAGUGCAGAUCUUUGUGGUAGUAGCAAAUAUUCAAAUGAGAACUUUGAAGGCUGACGAGAGGAAAGGUUCCAUGUAAACAACACUUGCACAUGGGUUAGUCGAUCCUAAGAGACAGGGCAAUACCGUCUGACAGCGCCCAGUGUUCGAGCAUCGAAAGGGAAUCGAGUUAAAAUUCCUGAAUCGGGACGUGACGACUGACGACAAUGUUAGGGAGUCCGGAGACGUCGUCGGGGACCUCGAGAGGAGUUAUCUUUUCUGUUUAACAGCCUACCCACCCUAGAAAUGGCUCAGCCGAAGGUAGGGUUCAGCGGCUGGAAGAGCACCGCACAUCGCACGGUGUCUGGUCUGUCCUCGACGGCCCUUGAAAAUUUGGAGGACCGAGUGCCUCCCACUCCCGGUCGUACUCAUAACCGCAUUAGGUCUCCAAGGUGAACAACCUCUGGUCGAUGGAAAAAUGAAGGCAAGGGAAGUCGGCAAAAUGGAUCUGUAACCUCGGGGAAAGGAUUUGCUCUGAGGGCUGGGCACAAGAGUCCCCGUCCUGAAUCCGUCGGCUGUCGAUGGACUGCUCAAGCUGCUCUCGCGGCAAGAGCGGGUCGUCGCAUGCCAGACGGGCCUUCGGGGCCUUCCCCGGGAAUUAAACAGUCGACUCAGAACUGGUACGGACAAGGGGAAUCCGACUGUUUAAUUAAAACAAAGCCUUGCGAUGGUCCUUGCGAAUGCUCACACAAUGUGAUUUCUGCCCAGUGCUCUGAAUGUCAAAGUGAAGAAAUUCAACCAAACGCGGGUAAAUGACUGGAGUAACUAUGACUCUCUUAAGGUAGCCAAAUGGCUUGUCAUCUAAUUAGUGAUGCGCAUGAAUGGAUUAACGAGAUUCCCACUGUCCCUAUCUACUAUCCAGCGAAACCACAACCAAGGGAACGGGCUUGGCAAAAUUAGCGGGGAAGGAAGACCUGUUGAGCAUGACUAUAAUCCGACUAUGUGAAAUGACUUAAGAGAUGUAGGAUAAGUGGGAGCCGGAAACGGAAAAAGUAAAAUACGACUACUUUUAACGUUAUUUUACUUAUUACGUGAAUCGAAAGCGGGGUAACGCCCCUCUUUUUGGACCUAAGGCCCGCCUCGGCGGGUCGAUCCGGGCAGAAGACAUUGUCAGGUGGUGAGUUUUUCUUGGGCGGCACAUCUGUUAAAAGAUAACGCAAGUGUCCUAAGAUGAGCUCAACGAGAACAUAAAUCUAAUGUGGAAAAAAAGGGUAAAAGCUCGUUUGAUUCUGAUUUCUAGUAGGAAUACGAACCGUGAAAGCGUGGCCUUUCGAUCCUUUAGACCUUCGAAAUUUGAAGCUAGAGGUGUUAGAAAAGUUACCACAGGGAUAACUGGCUUGUGGCAGCCAAGCUGUAACAACCCUAAUUUAUUUUUAGAAUUUGUGACUUUAAGAUAAAAGUGUUUAAGAUUUAUUUUUUUUUAUGAAUGUUGGCUAAAUAUUAAAGUAUUAAGGUAUUAUGGAUAUUAGUAAUUUAGUAGGUUGAAGGUGGUGACGAAAAUAAUGU
Molecule: ribosomal RNA, 2664 nt
Filed under: Begonia fuchsioides
Lineage: Eukaryota; Viridiplantae; Streptophyta; Magnoliopsida; Cucurbitales; Begoniaceae
Description: eukaryotic LSU rRNA
Rfam family: Eukaryotic large subunit ribosomal RNA
Source: RNAcentral